RNAcentral lists this ribosomal RNA (1976 nucleotides) under uncultured Sarcosomataceae. RNAcentral describes it as "partial 18S ribosomal RNA". It matches the Rfam family "Eukaryotic small subunit ribosomal RNA". The record is from RNAcentral. Lineage: Eukaryota; Fungi; Ascomycota; Pezizomycetes; Pezizales; Sarcosomataceae.
CGGGUGUGAUCCUGCCAGUAGUCAUAUGCUUGUCUCACAGAUUACGCCAUGCUUGUCGUACAGUAGUAACAAAUCUAUAGAUGUGAGAGAGCUGCGAAUGGCUCAUUAUAGUCAGUUAUAGUACAUUUGAUAGUACCUUACUACUUGGAUAACCGAGGGUAGUCUAGAGCUAAGUGACUGCGUGAAAAUCCCGACUAUCUGGGAAGAGGCUGUCUUUAUUAAGAUAACCACACCAAUGCCAAGCAAAUGGCGUGCAUGGUGAUACAUAACAACUUUUGGAAUCGUAUAGACCUCGGUGUCGACGAUGGUUCGAUUCAAAUCUCUGCCCUAUCAACUUUCGGAUGGUACGAUAGAGGCCUACCAUGGUGUUAACGGGUAACGGAGAAUUAGGGUCUCGAUUCCGGAGAGCGUGAGCCUGAGAAACGGCUACCACAUCCAAGGACGGCAGCAGGCGCGCACAUUACCCAAUCCUGAUACAGGGAGGUAGUGACAAUCAAUACCAAUACAGGGCCCUUUGGGUCUUGUAAUUGGAAUGAGUACAAUUUAAAUCCCUUAACGAGGAGCAAUUGGAGGUCAAGUCUGGUGCCAGCAGCCGCGGUAAUUCCAGCUCCAAUAGCGUAUAUUAAAGUCGUUGCAGUUAAAAAGCUCGUAGUUGAAUUUUUGAUCUGGCCAAGGUGUCGGCCGCAAGGUCUGUACUUCUUGGCUGCGAUCUUUCCUUCUGGAGAGCCAUUAUGCCAUUUAUUUGGUGUUUUGGGGAUCCAGGACUUUUACCUUGAAAAAAUUAGAGUGUUUAAAGCAGGCAUACGCUUGAAUACAUUAACAUGGAAUAAUAGAAUAGGACUUUGGUUCUAUUUUGUUGGUUUCUAGGACCGAAGUAAUGAUUAAUAGCGAUAGUCCGGGGCAUUAGUAUUUAAUCGUCAGAGGUGAAAUUCUUGGAUUUAUGAAAGACUAACUUCUGCGACAGCAUUUGCCAAGGAUGUUUUCAUUAAUCAAGAACGAAAGUUAGGGGAUCGAAGACGAUCAGAUACCGUCCUAGUCUUAACCAUAAACUAUGCCGACUAGGGAUCAGGCAAGGAUAUUUUGACUUGCUUGGCUACCUUAUGAGAAAACAAAGUUUUUGGGUUCCGGCGGGAGUAUGGUCGCCAGGCUGAAACUUACAAGGAAUUUGACAGGGACAGGGCACCACCACGUGUGGAGCCUGCGGCUUAAUUUGACAUCAAACACGGGGGAGAACUCAGCCAAGGUCCCAGACAUUAACUGAGGAUUGGACAUGAUUCGAUACGCUCGGAUCCAUGAGUUUAUAUGGGAGUGUAUGAGUGCAAUGUGCACGUUCAUAUAGAUUCGAUAGGUAGUUGAUGUAUGUCCCUGGUAUAUAGCUUCACGUAUAUAUCGUAAACGAAGACUCCUUAAGCCUUGCAUAGAUUAGGGCCUAGAUUCGGGCGUUUCUGUCUCGGUCCGUCUCCGGCUGUCAUUUAUGAGGGAGACCUGUUCUAGUCCGAUGUAUGCCUGUACUGGAAGGUAUUCGAGAGCCAAUAAUCUAGGCUCCUUGUAGAUCGCCCAUUACAGACUCGUUGGUAGGGCCUGCAAUGCGCGCUAUCACGUGGACAUGAGGUCCAGGCGAGAUUAUUUCUAGCAUUGAACCGGUAAGGCUGCUGGGUAAAUCUAUGUGAAAAUCUCUGUACGUUACUGAGGGAUACGAGCACUAUGCUAGUAUAUUGCGUCUUCAACCGACGGAAUAACUUAGUAAGACGUGAUGUCAUCAGACUCAGCGUUGAAUUAUCGUCCAUGCACCUAUUGUACACACACGCACCGUCGGUUAUUACGCAGAUUUGAGUGGACCUUAGUGAGGUCUCCAGGAUUGGCUUUGGGGAUCCAGGUCGACAGGAAUCCCCAUUAUUGACGAAGUUAGAUCAUACAUGGUCAUUUAGAGAGUAGUAAAAAGCUCGUCACAAGGUUUCCGUAAGGUGAACCCUCCG